Molecule: transfer RNA, 97 nt
Filed under: Streptomyces caelestis
Lineage: Bacteria; Bacillati; Actinomycetota; Actinomycetes; Kitasatosporales; Streptomycetaceae
Description: tRNA-Ser
Source: RNAcentral
GGCGCCCCCAGCGGGCGGCCCGUACGCGUUGCCCUGCUGCGGUGGCUGCCCGCCCGUGCCCUCCGGAGGCAGCGGGGCUCCGCCCGCGGGAGCGCCG